UAUUAAGACACUUGCUAGUCAUUAUGGUAGACCCAGACUGGAUGUUUUCAUGGGUCACAGAGUUGAAGUUCAGCCAGUGUACACUGAGGACGCAAUUGUUCAAGAGUUUAACCAAUUUAAAAGACAGAUGUUGAUGUUGAAUUGAGUUGUUCUAGUGCUGGCAGAUUAACUUUCAGUAUCACAGUCUGUCAGUAGAAUAUGCAGCACUGAAAUUGUUACUGUUAACCAUCUAAUUAUUUUAGCACAGGAAUCCAAGACCUGAACUGUAUGAAGAAAUGGUGAAAGAUGAAGUGCUCCGCAAUGCAUUCCCAAUAAUGUUUUACUUUGUUGGGCUGGCUAAGACCAUUCCAAGCAGCACAGCAAGUGUUGAGAGGACAUUUAGUCUCAUGAACUCUCUGUGUACUUCCAGCAGAAGCAGACUGAACCAGUCUUCUUUGGAUGCAUUAAUGCGUAUUUGUGUUCACAAUCAAGGGCACAAGUCCCUUUCUAGUCAGGAACUAAAUGAUACAAUAACACAGUUCAAAAAUAUGAAAACCAGAGACCUACUUUUGUGAACUAAAUCAUAUUAGAAAAGGAAUAUAUUGCCUCUGGAAACUUGAAAAUGUUGUUUGUUUUUUCCCAAUUUAGGGCAAAAUGCCGCUAAAAUUCCCAAUCUCAAGGGUAUGGGUCAUGUUCCCAAAAUACUGAAAAAAACCCUGUGAUAUGAAUUUGAGAUUUUGGAAACAAUCUGAAGACAGGUAAAACAACAAAAGAGCGGAUAAACGCUUACCUGGGCAUGUUUUUCACACCUUUGGCGAUCAUAAAUGUCCUAAUAACAAUUGUUUAUUGUACUUGGCUAUCAAAUUGAACAAGCGUUAUAGCGCGCUAUAAAUCUAAGUCUACUUAAA
This is a long non-coding RNA of Ruditapes philippinarum (Manila clam), 887 nucleotides long. RefSeq lists it as uncharacterized. The transcript has 3 exons. The record is from RefSeq and is a predicted model, not a curated record. NCBI's taxonomy places the organism in Eukaryota, Metazoa, Mollusca, Bivalvia, Venerida, Veneridae.